RNAcentral lists this ribosomal RNA (502 nucleotides) under uncultured Gammaproteobacteria bacterium. Its description in RNAcentral is "bacterial SSU rRNA". It matches the Rfam family "Bacterial small subunit ribosomal RNA", at positions 8 to 499 of the family's 1533-position model. The record is from RNAcentral. Lineage: Bacteria; Pseudomonadati; Pseudomonadota; Gammaproteobacteria.
AGAGUUUGAUCCUGGCUCAGAUUGAACGCUGGCGGUAUGCUUAACACAUGCAAGUCGAACGGAAACGAUGGUAGCUUGCUACCAGGCGUCGAGUGGCGGACGGGUGAGUAACGCGUAGGAAUCUGCCUGAUAGUGGGGGAUAGCCCAGAGAAAUCUGGAUUAAUACCGCAUAAUCUCUAUGGAGUAAAGGAGCCCUCUUCUUGAAAGGUUUCACUAUCAGAUGAGCCUGCGUAAGAUUAGCUUGUUGGUGAGGUAAAAGCUCACCAAGGCGACGAUCUUUAGCUGGUCUGAGAGGAUGAUCAGCCACACUGGAACUGAGACACGGUCCAGACUCCUACGGGAGGCAGCAGUGGGGAAUAUUGGACAAUGGGCGCAAGCCUGAUCCAGCAAUACCGCGUGUGUGAAGAAGGCCUGAGGGUUGUAAAGCACUUUCAAUUGUGAAGAAAAGCUAAUGGCUAAUACCCAUUAGCCUUGACGUUAACUUUAGAAGAAGCACCGGCUA